This 815-nucleotide long non-coding RNA is filed under the name Gallus gallus (chicken). Its description in RNAcentral is "lncRNA (ENSGALG00010003452.1)". Lineage: Eukaryota; Metazoa; Chordata; Aves; Galliformes; Phasianidae. The record is from RNAcentral.
GUUCAUCUCUACAUUUGACUCCAUGGUCCUGUACUGGUGAAUGUGGCACCACUGGAGCGGUACUGCAGGAACCAUUGCUUUCCCAGAGCAGAUCACAAAAAGGUUCUUCUGAAGCAGUUUUUUAUGAAGGAGCAUUUGUAUGGACACCCGUGUUUUAGAUAAGAAACUGUGUGGUGAACACCACUGGAUAGUUAACACGAAAAUGAUUCAUUCCCACAGCACUGGCAAGUGCAGAGAUUUCCAAGCCCAGGCCCAAGCACGGAGGUUUUUUAAGCCUUAUUGAAGAGAGUGGGAAGUCUGUUAGAGUAAAAGGAAAGGCUCAUUCACCAAAUCUGGAUUGAGAAGGUCAGUAUGUAACUGUAGUAUUAGGGACUUCCUCCCAGACUCAUGGUAAGAGAAGUUAUUGCUUCAACAUUUCUGAUAUUCGGGAGUGUUCCCCUAGAGCUACUUCAGAGUGUUUAUGAUAAAACUAAUACUAGAAUUAUGCUGACAUAUUGGAGGAGCAAGUGGUGAAUAUUAGGUAUGCAGCUAUGAAAUUUUAGAAUUGCUGCAUUGUACACUGUAUGGCAAUAUUGCAUGACAAUAUGAUAACAUUAUAUUGUAUAGCAGUUGUUAUAUAUAUUUUGCUAUGUCAUUUUACUACAUUGACACAAGAUCUGUGUAGAGGUUAUAAUACCUAUUUUAUCCUUGGAUUUUCAUCCUCUUUUUUGUAUCACAUAUUGUGCAAACCCUGCUUCUCCCUGUUGUCAUUUAUACUUGAUAUUAAAUAUAAUCCUGACUUCACUGAAAAUAAGAUUUUUUUUUUUUGCUCAACU